CGGGGGAGGCCGGAUCCUGGGCUGUGUCCCGGCGCCCUGUGCUCCCCGACCUGCGCUGUUGGGUUCCCGCUCCCGGCCGCGCAGCCCUCC
Molecule: microRNA precursor, 90 nt
Filed under: Canis lupus dingo (dingo)
Lineage: Eukaryota; Metazoa; Chordata; Mammalia; Carnivora; Canidae
Description: mir-8799 microRNA precursor family
Rfam family: mir-8799 microRNA precursor family
Source: Rfam by way of RNAcentral